RNAcentral lists this transfer RNA (85 nucleotides) under Clostridiales bacterium. RNAcentral describes it as "tRNA-Tyr". It matches the Rfam family "tRNA". Rfam says of the family: Transfer RNA (tRNA) molecules are approximately 80 nucleotides in length. Lineage: Bacteria; Bacillati; Bacillota; Clostridia; Eubacteriales. The record is from RNAcentral. RNAcentral also lists the same sequence under 1 other name.
GGAGGGAUACCCAAGUGGCCAAAGGGGGCAGACUGUAAAUCUGUUGUCAGAGACUUCGAUGGUUCAAAUCCAUCUCCCUCCACCA